UUAUAUUAGAAUGUGAGGGUAAAAUAGACUUUAUGCUAAGGCAUGACUAUACAUGUGAAGAUUCAGGGCUGAGGGUUGUUUAUCGAAAUAUUAGUAUUGUGUUGGGUUUUGGGAGAGGCCACCUCUCGAAUAGUGGUUGUUAUCUUUUCAGUUGUAAUCGAAUCAUACUAUUUCCUUCUGCUGUGUUAAGUUGUUUUGCAAUUUAGUGUGCUUGGUGUGGAUCUGAGUAGUGUUCUCUAGCAAAGUGGUAUCAGAGCGCUUCGAUCUACUGUCGCCAUGGGUGCACCUCCAUCUAAUCAAUACCGUAUCGAACAGCUGGAACAAGGGCUUGUUGACCUCCGCGCCGCCAUGGCGGAGCAAGUUUCGGUCGCUGUCAACAGUGCGGCUCGUACGAUGCAGAGCUCUCUCAUCGACCACUUGACCUUGUCGAUUGAGCAAUCGAUGCAACGUUUGGAGGCUCGAGUCGCGAGAUCUAAGGACGAACAAGACAAGUUUCAGGCGGAGAUCCGUUCGUCGUUAUCGGCUUUGAAACAAUCUGAUUCAGCUCUCAUCCAUGGCUCCAAUUCCAACUCGGGUCCAGGAGUGGGUAAUGGAUCGGGUCGUUCGGAGGGAUCGGGUGUUGGUUCAGGUAGAGGCGGGUCGGGUCGACCCGGUGACCAGGUCGGGGGCAAUUGGCGGGUUAAGAAACUGGAUCUACCAGUAUUUGCUGGGACUAACCCCGACGGCUGGAUAUUGAGAGCUGAACGUUAUUUUCAUUUUUACCGCCUGGGAGAAGAGGAGGUGUUGGAGGCUGCCGUAGUCUCUUUAGACGGCGAUGCGUUACUCUGGUAUCAGUGGGAGAAUGGGCGUCGCCCCAUUCGCAACUGGGCAGAAUUGAAGGGCAUGUUUCUUCGACAAUUUCGCUCCACCUCUACGGGAAGUUUGCAAGAACAGUGGCUGCAUCAUCAUCAGACGGCGGAUGUCCUGGAUUACAGACGCCGGUUUAUCGAAUUAAUGGCACCUUUGACAGGAGUGCCAGAGGACAUUGCUUUAGCCCAAUUUCUAAAUGGCUUAAAGCCAGAGCUGAAGUCUGAGGUUCGUGUUUUGGGUCCUCUGACACUGGACCACGCCAUGGAAUUAGCAGUCAAGGUGGAGGAAAAGAUCAAACAUAUCAGUGCUAAGCGCGUUUCUGUAAGUGCUUUUUCCCCUCACACCUCUACACCCUCAUAUUCUACGCUCAAUAAGUCUCAAACUGCACAUUCUUCUGUUAGUAUACCAUCUGUUGUUAGUGGUUUGCCUGCUAUGUCUUCUGCCUCUAGCCCAGGCACUCCUAAUGCAGGUCGAGGGUCAUCAACCAAAUCUGGGGGUGAGUUUCGCAGACUGAGCGAAGCAGAGUUGCAAGGAAAACGGGAGAGGGGCGAAUGUUUUCGUUGUAAUGAGAAAUGGUCAGUGGGACACCGUUGUAAGAAGAGUGAACUUAGUGUCAUCCUUUUACAGGAAGAUCAGGAGGAGGACAAGAAUGCUCAGGAGGAUCACCAAAACACUGAGUUAGUGGGGGAAGAUUGUGUUGAUGAGGGGGCACCUACUGUUAAAUCUUCUGUUUCUUUGAAUUCGGUGAUUGGGAUCUCAAACCCGAAGACUCUUAAAUUGGUGGGGGAAAUCAAGGGUAAACAAGUGGUACGAGGUGAUGAUAGAUCCGGGUGCAACCCAUAACUUCAUCUCCACCAUGACAGUGCAGAAGUUGGGCCUUACAAUAGUCACAACUGAGGGUUUUGGCGUUUCAUUGGGCAAUGGGGACACGGUGGUAGGCGAAGGAGUGUGUAAGUCAGUAGUGCUCGAGUUGCCAGCACUCACGAUAGUCGAAGAUUUUCUUCCUCUUUCUCUCGGCAAUUCAGAUGUCAUUCUGGGGGUUCAAUGGCUAGAAAAAUUGGGCACGGUGUCCACUAAUUGGAAAACCCACACUCUGAAAUUCAGGUUAGGGGAUCAGAAUGUGACUCUGAAAGGGGAUCCCGCCCUGGGACGUUCUUUAAUCUCGCUAAAAGCUCUGUUAAAGACCAUUAAGCGAGAGGACCAAGGGUUUUUGGUGGAGUUCAAUUCAUUAGCUGGGUCUGCUUCCCCACCACCUGACCAGUGUGAGCCAGUGGUACCUCCAUUCCUCCAACAAACACUUCAACAAUACAAGGCUGUAUUCGACAUGCCAGCAGGUCUUCCUCCAUCAAGAGGCCAUGAACAUGCUAUCAUCCUCAAAGAUGGGACUGACCCAGUAAGUGUUCGACCAUAUAGGUACUCGCAAGCUCAGAAAGAUGAGAUUGAGUCUUUAAUUCGCGACAUGCUUAAGGCUGGUAUUGUUCAAGUCUCUAAUAGUCCGUUCUCUAGCCCAGUGAUUUUAGUCAAGAAGAAAAAUGGCUCCUGGAGAUUCUGCGUUGAUUAUCGUGCCUUGAACAAGGUCACUGUAGCAGAUAAAUUCCCGAUACCGGUCAUUGAUGAGCUUCUAGACGAGCUACAUGGAGCGUGUAUUUUUUCGAAAUUGGACCUCAAAUCUGGGUACCACCAGAUCAGAGUACGAGCUGAGGAUGUGCCGAAAACAGCCUUUCGGACACAUGAGGGCCACUACGAGUUUUUAGUUAUGCCCUUCGGGCUUAUGAACGCCCCAGCGACAUUUCAGGCUCUUAUGAACACUAUUUUUAAGCCGUUUCUACGUCGCUUUGUACUGGUAUUCUUUGAUGACAUAUUGGUCUAUAGCACCAGUCCGGAGGAACAUCAACAGCACCUAUCUCAAGUACUCACCACACUGCAGAAUCAUAAUCUCUAUGCUAAUUGGAGUAAAUGUGAGUUUGGGCAGGCUAAACUUGCUUAUUUGGGGCACAUAGUAUCGGGACAAGGGGUGUCCGUUGAUGACAGCAAGAUUCAGGCCAUGAUCUCUUGGCCCCAACCUCAAAAUCUAAAGGACCUGCGUUCCUUCCUGGGCUUGACAGGUUACUACCGUCGAUUCAUUGCUGGUUAUGCAUCUAUAGCGCAGCCUCUCACAGAUCAAAUGAAAAAGGAUCAGUUUGGGUGGUCUGAGCAGGCUACGGCUGCUUUUACAGCCUUGAAAGAAGCUUUAGCUACGGCUCCAAUCCUGGCCAUGCCAGAUUUUAAACAGGGGUUCAUAGUGGAGACUGACGCCUCUGGUUUCGGGUUGGGUGCAGUUUUGCAGCAGGAUGGGCAUCCAAUUGCUUAUUUCAGCAAGGUUUUGGGGCCUCGGGCACGCCUUAAAUCGAUAUACGAGAAGGAACUCAUGGCCAUUGUCCUAGCAGUUCUUAAGUGGCGCCAUUAUCUAUUGGGCCGUCGGUUUGUGGUACGCACCGACCAGCAGAGCUUGAAAUUUUUGAUGGAACAAAGGGAGGUUGGUCCGGAAUACCAGAAGUGGGUAAGCAAGUUGAUGGGCUACGAUUUUGAAAUUCAAUAUCGCACAGGAGCCUCCAAUCGUGUGGCGGAUGCCCUGUCUAGACAGGGAACUGUAAAAGGUGAGUUGGGCACUUGCAUCACUAUGUCUGGACCUCAGUGGGGAGAUAUACAAAAUCUGAUUCAAGACGACCCUUUCAUGAAGAAAAUUCGGGGUGAUCUUGAAGCCGGACGUGCUGUGUCCGAGGGCUAUAGCCUCGAUCAGGGGGUGGUUAAAUAUAAAGGGCGUGUCGUCAUUCCCAACAAUGGCUCAUUGGUAGAUCAGUUGUUACAUGCUUACCAUGAUUCUCCGCUAGGAGGACACUCAGGAGAACUUAAGACAUACCAACGAUUGGCGUCGUGUUGGUUCUGGCCUGGAAUGAGAAAAACCGUUGCCACCUAUAUAAGAAAGUGUGUGGUCUGUCAGCAGGCCAAGGCCCAGACUUUAAAGCCUGCAGGGCUACUGAAUCCUCUACCGAUUCCGGCGACGGUGUGGGAUGAAAUCUCGAUGGACUUCGUUGAAGGGUUGCCAAGCUCAAACGGAAUGAAUUCUAUAUUAGUGGUGGUAGACCGUCUCACUAAGUAUGCACACUUUAUUCCCCUCAAGCACCCCUUCACUGCUUCCAGUAUCGCAGCAGUGUUUGUCAAGGAGGUUGCGCGAUUACAUGGGUUUCCCACAACCAUUGUCUCUGAUCGCGAUAAAAUAUUCCUCAGUUUAUUUUGGCGAGAGCUUUUUAAGCUACAAGGCACUAAGUUGCUCCACAGCACAGCAUACCAUCCGCAAACGGACGGUCAAACUGAGGUAGUGAACAAAUGCAUAGAGACUUUUCUGAGAUGCUUCAUCACGGGCAAAGCAAAAACUUGGGCCUCUUGGGUACCAUGGGCUGAAUUCUGGUACAACACCUCUUACCAUGCUUCAACAGGCUACACUCCAUUCAAAGCUCUGUAUGGCCGCGAUCCUCCCCCUUUGGUUAAGUUUAUACCGGGCAGUACUUCUGUUUCUAGCCUCGAGGAUCAACUGCAGGAGCGAGACGCCAUAUUAGAUGACCUCAAGGUCCAACUGUUGAGGGCCCAGCAGCGUAUGAAGUUCCAAGAAGAUGCAUCUCGUCGAGAUUUGGAAUUCCAAGUAGGGGACUAUGUCUAUCUGAAAUUACAACCAUACCGUCAGCAGUCCCUGGUUAGACGCACAUGUGCCAAACUGGCUGCGCGCUAUUAUGGACCAUUCCAAGUGGAACAGCGUAUAGGAAAGGUGGCAUACAAAUUACUAUUACCAGCAACCUCUCAGAUCCAUCCUGUUUUCCAUGUGUCUCAGUUGAGGAAGGCAGAAGGCACCAUACCAGCACAACCUACUGUCCCAAGCAAUAUCACUAGUAAUAUGGAGUGGGAGGGGAACCCGGAGAAAGUUUUGGGUGUUCGCCAGAUUCAGGGGUCUACUGUGGGUGGAGGAGAAGUGCUUAUCAAGUGGGAGGGGUUGUCCGAAGUUGAAGCUACCUGGGAAGACCAAUGCAGAGGCCCAGAGCAAGACAGAAAGAGCAUAAUAAUAGUAUUAUAAUUAUGCAACAGUUUAUUAUAUUAGAAUGUGAGGGUAAAAUAGAUUUUAUGCUAAGGCAUGACUAUACAUGUGAAGAUUCAGGGCUGAGGGUUGUUUAUCGAAAUAUUAGUAUUGUGUUGGGUUUUGGGAGAGGCCACCUCUCGAAUAGUGGUUGUUAUCUUUUCAGUUGUAAUCGAAUCAUACUAUUUCCUUCUGCUGUGUUAAGUUGUUUUGCAAUUUAGUGUGCUUGGUGUGGAUCUGAGUAGUGUUCUCUAGCAGAUUGAUGAUAUAAAUAAUUGCAAACUAUUUUUGCUAUAUGAGUUAAUUAAAUAAUCUUGAAAGAAUUUAUACAUAUAUGAAUGAGUUUGAGCCUUUGAAAAAGCUAAACCGUGACAUGUAUAAUGAAGUUGAACAUAUAUCUUAACAGGACUAAC
This 5367-nucleotide long non-coding RNA is filed under the name Daucus carota (carrot). RNAcentral describes it as "long non-coding RNA (DCAR_LNC003236)". Lineage: Eukaryota; Viridiplantae; Streptophyta; Magnoliopsida; Apiales; Apiaceae. The record is from RNAcentral.